GACCCAGUAGUGAACGGAUCAUACCUGCUUUCUUUGUUCCUAGUUUCUCUAGUAAAAGCAGGAGCCCCCGGUUCGACUCCGGGCUGGGUCA
Molecule: non-coding RNA, 91 nt
Organism: Mycena epipterygia
Lineage: Eukaryota; Fungi; Basidiomycota; Agaricomycetes; Agaricales; Mycenaceae
Source: the annotation of a GenBank genome assembly